This 460-nucleotide ribosomal RNA is filed under the name uncultured bacterium. Its description in RNAcentral is "partial 16S ribosomal RNA". It matches the Rfam family "Bacterial small subunit ribosomal RNA", at positions 338 to 795 of the family's 1533-position model. The record is from RNAcentral.
CCUACGGGAGGCAGCAGUGAGGAAUAUUGGUCAAUGGACGAGAGUCUGAACCAGCCACGUAGCGUGAAGGAUGACUGCCCUCUGGGUUGUAAACUUCUUUUAUAUGGGAAUAAAAUGUUCCACGUGUUGGAUUUUGUAUGUACCAUAUGAAUAAGGACCGGCUAACUCCGUGCCAGCAGCCGCGGUAAUACGGAGGAUCCGAGCGUUAUCCGGAUUUAUUGGGUUUAAAGGGAGCGUAGGUGGAUUGUUAAGUCAGAUGUGAAAGUUUGCGGCUCAACCGUAAAAUUGCAGUUGAAACUGGCAGUCUUGAGUACAGUAGAGGUGGGCGGAAUUCGUGGUGUAGCGGUGAAAUGCUUAGAUAUCACGAAGAACUCCGAUUGCGAAGGCAGUUCACUGGACUGCAACUGACACUGAGGCUCGAAAGUGUGGGUAUCAAACAGGAUUAGAUACCCUAGUAGUC